GAGCUGCCACUGGAUCUGCUUAAUCUGGAACCAGGGUCAAAGCAGUGACUGUCGGAAGCCGCCAGGCCAAGGUGUCUUUCUAUCAUGGCUGGUGUCUUAUCACCAUAACCAGAGAGGGCUUCCCUUGGAACUCUAGAAAGACGAUGACAGCAAAAAGAAACUAUUCUGUUGAUGGCUCUGGAGAGGCCCCCUGGAACUCUAGUUCUCAGCAGUCAACUCUGGUGAUGGAGGAUGGGAUUUAAAUGGUGGACACCUAAAGGAGAAGAAAGCACAAAAGAGACAACAGUGCAAGAUGGGAAACCAUCUCUCCAGGAUGACCCCCAACCAAGAAUCUUCAGUCUACAGAACUCAAAGAAUCAAAAGGUUGCCACUGGAACCCUUAACAAAGCAAAGAACUAAGUCAUUCAAUAAGGAAAACCUGGCUUCCAGUAGCAUGACUAGCUUAUAUGUUCUGAUUCAAGACUAGCCAAUCAGCUUCCAAGUUUGAAAUUCCCCUAACCCUUUAAAUUUUACACCAACCCUGGAUCAUGGAGACAGAUUUGAGAGCUUUGUCUCCUGUCUCUCUGCUGGUCAACCUCACAAUAAAGAUUUUUUUCCCCCUCAAAACCAGUGACAUAUUAUUGGCUCCUAUACACAUCAGGCAUUGAACACUUGCUUGAUAACAAAAACAUCAUUGGGAAUGAAGGCUUCAUGGACAAAGAAGAGUUUUCUGGGGGAACGUCACAUUUGCAAAACUGAUAUUAGAUGGAAUUUAAGCAGUGAGAAUUAUGGUUUAAUAAGUGUAGUGAAAGAUAAAAUUCUUCUAUUUGGGUGUAUUUAUCUUUGUGAGGUUUUCGUUUUGCAAUAACACCCAUUAGGA
Molecule: long non-coding RNA, 859 nt
Organism: Bubalus bubalis (water buffalo)
Lineage: Eukaryota; Metazoa; Chordata; Mammalia; Artiodactyla; Bovidae
Exons: 3
Source: RefSeq, a predicted model, not a curated record